Molecule: ribosomal RNA, 1509 nt
Filed under: Helicobacter pylori
Lineage: Bacteria; Pseudomonadati; Campylobacterota; Epsilonproteobacteria; Campylobacterales; Helicobacteraceae
Description: bacterial SSU rRNA
Rfam family: Bacterial small subunit ribosomal RNA
Source: RNAcentral
UUUUAUGGAGAGUUUGAUCCUGGCUCAGAGUGAACGCUGGCGGCGUGCCUAAUACAUGCAAGUCGAACGAUGAAGCUUCUAGCUUGCUAGAAGUGGAUUAGUGGCGCACGGGUGAGUAACGCAUAGGUCAUGUGCCUCUUAGUUUGGGAUAGCCAUUGGAAACGAUGAUUAAUACCAGAUACUCCCUACGGGGGAAAGAUUUAUCGCUAAGAGAUCAGCCUAUGUCCUAUCAGCUUGUUGGUAAGGUAAUGGCUUACCAAGGCUAUGACGGGUAUCCGGCCUGAGAGGGUGAACGGACACACUGGAACUGAGACACGGUCCAGACUCCUACGGGAGGCAGCAGUAGGGAAUAUUGCUCAAUGGGGGAAACCCUGAAGCAGCAACGCCGCGUGGAGGAUGAAGGUUUUAGGAUUGUAAACUCCUUUUGUUAGAGAAGAUAAUGACGGUAUCUAACGAAUAAGCACCGGCUAACUCCGUGCCAGCAGCCGCGGUAAUACGGAGGGUGCAAGCGUUACUCGGAAUCACUGGGCGUAAAGAGCGCGUAGGCGGGAUAGUCAGUCAGGUGUGAAAUCCUAUGGCUUAACCAUAGAACUGCAUUUGAAACUACUAUUCUAGAGUGUGGGAGAGGUAGGUGGAAUUCUUGGUGUAGGGGUAAAAUCCGUAGAGAUCAAGAGGAAUACUCAUUGCGAAGGCGACCUGCUGGAACAUUACUGACGCUGAUUGCGCGAAAGCGUGGGGAGCAAACAGGAUUAGAUACCCUGGUAGUCCACGCCCUAAACGAUGGAUGCUAGUUGUUGGAGGGCUUAGUCUCUCCAGUAAUGCAGCUAACGCAUUAAGCAUCCCGCCUGGGGAGUACGGUCGCAAGAUUAAAACUCAAAGGAAUAGACGGGGACCCGCACAAGCGGUGGAGCAUGUGGUUUAAUUCGAAGAUACACGAAGAACCUUACCUAGGCUUGACAUUGAGAGAAUCCGCUAGAAAUAGUGGAGUGUCUGGCUUGCCAGACCUUGAAAACAGGUGCUGCACGGCUGUCGUCAGCUCGUGUCGUGAGAUGUUGGGUUAAGUCCCGCAACGAGCGCAACCCCCUUUCUUAGUUGCUAACAGGUCAUGCUGAGAACUCUAAGGAUACUGCCUCCGUAAGGAGGAGGAAGGUGGGGACGACGUCAAGUCAUCAUGGCCCUUACGCCUAGGGCUACACACGUGCUACAAUGGGGUGCACAAAGAGAAGCAAUACUGCGAAGUGGAGCCAAUCUUCAAAACAUCUCUCAGUUCGGAUUGUAGGCUGCAACUCGCCUGCAUGAAGCUGGAAUCGCUAGUAAUCGCAAAUCAGCCAUGUUGCGGUGAAUACGUUCCCGGGUCUUGUACUCACCGCCCGUCACACCAUGGGAGUUGUGUUUGCCUUAAGUCAGGAUGCUAAAUUAGCUACUGCCCACGGCACACACAGCGACUGGGGUGAAGUCGUAACAAGGUAACCGUAGGUGAACCUGCGGUUGGAUCACCUCCUUUCUAGA